RNAcentral lists this ribosomal RNA (460 nucleotides) under uncultured bacterium. RNAcentral's name for it is "partial 16S ribosomal RNA". It matches the Rfam family "Bacterial small subunit ribosomal RNA", at positions 338 to 795 of the family's 1533-position model. The record is from RNAcentral.
CCUACGGGUGGCAGCAGUGAGGAAUAUUGGUCAAUGGACGCAAGUCUGAACCAGCCAUGCCGCGUGCAGGAAGACGGCCCUAUGAGUUGUAAACUUCUUUUGUACGAGAGUAAACGCAGAUACGUGUAUCUUUCUGAAAGUAUCGUACGAAUAAGGAUCGGCUAACUCCGUGCCAGCAGCCGCGGUAAUACGGAGGAUUCAAGCGUUAUCCGGAUUUAUUGGGUUUAAAGGGUGCGUAGACGGGUUGUUAAGUUAGAUGUGAAAUUCUGAGGCUCAACCUCGGAAUUGCAUCUGAUACUGGUCGGCUAGAGAGUAGUUGAGGUAGGCGGAAUGUAUGAUGUAGCGGUGAAAUGCUUAGAGAUCAUAAAGAACCCCGAUUGCGAAGGCAGCUUACUAAGCUACGUCUGACGUUGAGGCACGAAAGCGUGGGGAGCAAACAGGAUUAGAUACCCUAGUAGUC